AUACGGAGGGUCCGAGCGUUAAUCGGAAUUACUGGGCGUAAAGCGCGCGUAGGCGGCGAUAUAAGUCAGAUGUGAAAUCCCUGGGCUCAACCUAGGAACUGCAUUUGAAACUGUAUGGCUAGAGUAUGGUAGAGGUGAGUGGAAUUUCAGGUGUAGCGGUGAAAUGCGUAGAGAUCUGAAGGAACAUCAGUGGCGAAGGCGACUCACUGGGCCAUUACUGACGCUGAGGUGCGAAAGCGUGGGUAGCAAACAGGAUUAGAAACCCCAGUAGUCC
Molecule: ribosomal RNA, 274 nt
Filed under: uncultured bacterium
Lineage: Bacteria
Description: partial 16S ribosomal RNA
Rfam family: Bacterial small subunit ribosomal RNA
Source: RNAcentral